Molecule: ribosomal RNA, 87 nt
Filed under: Bacillus multifaciens
Lineage: Bacteria; Bacillati; Bacillota; Bacilli; Caryophanales; Bacillaceae
Source: RNAcentral
CGUUCCCAUACCGAACACGGAAGUUAAGCUCUCUAGCGCCGAUGGUAGUUGGGACUUUGUCCCUGUGAGAGUAGGACGUUGCCAGGC